Molecule: long non-coding RNA, 894 nt
Filed under: Dasypus novemcinctus (nine-banded armadillo)
Lineage: Eukaryota; Metazoa; Chordata; Mammalia; Cingulata; Dasypodidae
Description: lncRNA (ENSDNOG00000050933.1)
Source: RNAcentral
GGCAACCUCAUGAGUUGACUCAGGUUCAGAGGCAUGCUUUUCAUAUUUUUCAUGCCUUCAUAAAAGAAGUUCAGAGUCACUCCAGUCCUAACAUCUCAUAUGCCAAGUGUUCCGAAUUUAUCCCUGGAGGGUACACUGUGGUUAGUACACUAUGUGCUUAAUGAGUCUCUGUUUGGGGAUAAAGCUUGACUCUGAACUUCUUCAAAUCUGAACUGUGAUUGUUUUCCCAAUAGUGCUGAAUGUUGAAGAAAAGCUUAUCAAGGAAUGAAAUUUCAAAUGGAAUAUAGAGGAAGAUACACAAAAAUUUAUCAAAAAUGGGAUAUUGAAGUGUUGCUGGUGGAAUUGAUGCUGACCACCUAUCCCAACAACCUCAAAGCAUGUAAUUUGUUCUAUCUGCUAGUAAGACAUCUUGCAUAAAGUUUCAGCAAUUUAAAAGAUUGUCUCCAAUUACCCUCUGUGAUUUAAUAAUUUAUCUGCCUUUUAAUGUCUCUUAGAUGCAAAAAGUUAUUUCUAUUGAUUCUCAGAUUGUAAAAUAAAUAUGAAUAUUUUGACACUUCUUACUACACAAUUUUUGGUGGGAGAGAACAACAGGUCACUUGCAUUUUUGCCUUUAGUGCCCCUUUAGGAGAGGUAGAAAGUAUGGUUUCUUCUGAAUUCACGGGAAGGAAAGGUUAGGAGACUUGGGUAUGAGUCUGUGAAAAAGUGAGCAGAAAUGUCUAUGGUUCUAUUCUUCUGGGUCCAGUCGCUAUUACAUUUCUCAGAAUAAUAGUUUGAUAUUGGUUUCCCCAUACUCCUAUUAAACUUGAAAAUUUUAUUUAAAUUUUUGUAUGGAAAUAUCUUCUGUAGAAUGUGAUUGUUCUCAUGAAUACUUUUCUUCCACACCAAAUACCUGCC